UACGUAGGGGGCUAGCGUUGUCCGGAAUCAUUGGGCGUAAAGAGCGCGUAGGCGGCCCGGUAAGUCUGCUGUGAAAGUCAAAGGCUCAACCUUUGAAUGUCAUUGGAUACUGCCGGGCUAGAGUCCGGAAGAGGCGAGUGGAACUCCUGGUGUAGCGGUGGAAUGCGCAGAUAUCAGGAAGAACACCAACGGCGAAGGCAGCUCGCUGGGACGGUACUGACGCUGAGGCGCGAAAGCGUGGGGAGCGAACAGG
RNAcentral lists this ribosomal RNA (253 nucleotides) under uncultured bacterium. RNAcentral describes it as "partial 16S ribosomal RNA". It matches the Rfam family "Bacterial small subunit ribosomal RNA", at positions 524 to 776 of the family's 1533-position model. The record is from RNAcentral.